UACGGGGGGGGCAAGCGUUGUUCGGAAUUACUGGGCGUAAAGGGCUCGUAGGCGGCCAACUAAGUCGGAUGUGAAAUCCCCAGGCUUAACCUGGGAACUGCAUCCGAUACUGGAUGGCUUGAAUCCGGGAGAGGGAUGCAGAAUUCCAGGUGUAGCGGUGAAAUGCGUAGAUAUUCGGAAGAACACCAGUGGCGAAGGCGGCUCACUGGACUGGUAUUGACGCUGAGGUGCGAAAGCGUGGGGAGCAAACAGG
Molecule: ribosomal RNA, 253 nt
Filed under: uncultured bacterium
Lineage: Bacteria
Description: partial 16S ribosomal RNA
Rfam family: Bacterial small subunit ribosomal RNA
Source: RNAcentral